RNAcentral lists this ribosomal RNA (459 nucleotides) under uncultured bacterium. RNAcentral describes it as "partial 16S ribosomal RNA". It matches the Rfam family "Bacterial small subunit ribosomal RNA", at positions 338 to 795 of the family's 1533-position model. The record is from RNAcentral.
CCUACGGGAGGCAGCAGUGAGGAAUAUUGGUCAAUGGCCGGAAGGCUGAACCAGCCAAGCCGCGUGAAGGACGAAGGUGCCAAGCAUUGUAAACUUCUUUUGUCAAGGGACAAAAUCAGGCUCGAGAGCCUGACCGUGGGUACUUGAAGAAAAAGCAUCGGCUAACUCCGUGCCAGCAGCCGCGGUAAUACGGAGGAUGCGAGCGUUAUCCGGAUUUAUUGGGUUUAAAGGGUGCGUAGGGGGACUGUAAAGUCAGCGGUAAAAGGCUGGGGCAAAACCCCGACGUGCAGUUGAAACUGGCUGUCCUGAGAAGACGAGAGGUGUGCGGAAUGCGCAGUGUAGCGGUGAAAUGCUUAGAUAUUGCGCAGAACUCCGAUUGCGAAGGCAGCAUACCGGCGGCGAUCUGACGCUGAGGCACGAAAGCGUGGGUAUCGAACAGGAUUAGAUACCCCUGUAGUC